Molecule: unclassified non-coding RNA, 291 nt
Filed under: uncultured fungus
Lineage: Eukaryota; Fungi
Description: partial contains 5.8S rRNA, ITS2 and 28S rRNA
Rfam family: Eukaryotic large subunit ribosomal RNA
Source: RNAcentral
AAGGAGUCGAACAUUUGUGCGAGUGUUUGGGUGUUAAACCUUCACGCGUAAUGAAAGUGAACGGAGGUGAGAGCCUUUAGGGGUGCAUCAUCGACCGAUCCUGAUGUCUUCGGAUGGAUUUGAGUAAGAGCAUAACUGUUCGGACCCGAAAGAUGGUGAACUAUGCGUGGAUAGGGUGAAGCCAGAGGAAACUCUGGUGGAGGCUCGCAGCGGUUCUGACGUGCAAAUCGAUCGUCAAAUCUGCGCAUGGGGGCGAAAGACUAAUCGAACCAUCUAGUAGCUGGUUCCUUC